GGGAACAAGUGCAGAUAUUUCUGGAUUCUUAAUGACACUUCCAACUUGUUGUAGGGCUGUCUGUGCUGCUGACUGGACUUUGGGAUGGGUAUCUGUGAGAACCUCUGUCAACUUUGGCACUAUCUUAGGAAGACAUUGAGACAAUUGUUGGGGAGCACAAUAUGCCAUAGCACCAAGCAACUGUACACUACUUUGCUUUGUUCUCCAUGCUUUAUCAUCAAGACCCUUCAAAAGAGAAGGCAAGACAAG
RNAcentral lists this unclassified non-coding RNA (249 nucleotides) under Hevea brasiliensis (rubber tree). The record is from RNAcentral. Lineage: Eukaryota; Viridiplantae; Streptophyta; Magnoliopsida; Malpighiales; Euphorbiaceae.